AGGACGAACGCUGGCGGCGUGCGUAAUACAUGCAAGUCGAGCGGGCUAAUGCUUUCGGGUGUUAGUUAGCGGCGGACGGGUGAGUAACGCGUGAGUGACCUAGCCUGGUGGUGGGGGAUAACUGCCCGAAAGGGUGGCUAAUCCCGCAUGGGCCCUCUGGGUCGGACCAGAGGGGAAAGCUUCGAAAGAGGCGCCCGAGGGGGGGCUUGCGUCCCAUUAGGUGGUUGGUGGGGUAGUGGCCUACCAAGCCGAUGAUGGGUAGCUGGUCUGAGAGGAUGGCCGGCCACACUGGGACUGAGAGACGGCCCAGACUCCUACGGGGGGCAGCAGUAAGGGAUCUUCGCCAAUGGCCGGAAGGCUGAGCGAGCGACGCCGCGUGGGUGAUGGAAGGGUUUCGGCCUGUAAAGCCCUGGUUGUCGGGGAAGAGGAGUGGGACCGGUACCCGGACGGAGGAACGCCCCGGCUAACUACGUGCCAGCAGCCGC
This 485-nucleotide ribosomal RNA is filed under the name uncultured bacterium. Its description in RNAcentral is "SSU rRNA". It matches the Rfam family "Bacterial small subunit ribosomal RNA", at positions 26 to 518 of the family's 1533-position model. The record is from RNAcentral.